CCUACGGGAGGCUGCAGUGAGGAAUAUUGGUCAAUGGGCGCGAGCCUGAACCCGCCAAGUAGCGUGAAGGAUGACUGUCCUACGGUUUGUAAACUUCUUUUAUCAAGGAAUAAAGUGAUGCACGUGUGCCUUUUUGUAUGUACUUUAUGAAUAAGGAUCGGCUAACUCCGUUCCAUCAGCCGCGGUAAUACGGAGGAUCCGCGCGUUAUCCGGAUUUAUUGGGUUUAAAGGGAGCGUAGAUGGGUUGUUAAGUCAGUUGUGAAAGUUUGCGGAUCAACCGUAAAAUUGCAAUUGAUACUGGCAGUCUUGAGUACAGUUGAGGUAGGCGGAAUUCGUGGUGUAGCGGUGAAAUGCUUAGAUAUCACGAAGAACUCCGAUUGCGAAGGCAGCUUACUAAACUGCCACUGACAUUGAUGCUCGAAAGUGUGGGUAUCAAACAGGAUUAGAUACCCCAGUAGUC
This 460-nucleotide ribosomal RNA is filed under the name uncultured bacterium. RNAcentral describes it as "partial 16S ribosomal RNA". It matches the Rfam family "Bacterial small subunit ribosomal RNA", at positions 338 to 795 of the family's 1533-position model. The record is from RNAcentral.